GGCUGGUCUGAUAGUAGUGGGUUAUCAGAACACAUUAACAUUAGUGUUCCUGAAGUUAGUAUAAAACUCCCCCAAUCCUAAAUGACUGGCUUUAA
Unclassified non-coding RNA from Cercocebus atys (sooty mangabey), 95 nucleotides. It matches the Rfam family "Y RNA". From Rfam's summary of the family: Y RNAs are components of the Ro ribonucleoprotein particle (Ro RNP), in association with Ro60 and La proteins. The Y RNAs and Ro60 and La proteins are well conserved, but the function of the Ro RNP is not known. In humans the RNA component can be one of four small RNAs -- hY1, hY3, hY4 and hY5. Lineage: Eukaryota; Metazoa; Chordata; Mammalia; Primates; Cercopithecidae. The record is from Ensembl.